Long non-coding RNA from Capsicum annuum, 351 nucleotides. RefSeq lists it as uncharacterized. The transcript is spliced from 2 exons. NCBI's taxonomy places the organism in Eukaryota, Viridiplantae, Streptophyta, Magnoliopsida, Solanales, Solanaceae. The record is from RefSeq and is a predicted model, not a curated record.
CAAGUAUGUUACUGCUGAAUGAAGUAGCAGAAAAAAUCGAAGAUUUCUCUCUUUCCCUUUUCAACUACUUUUUAUGGCGUUUCAAUGAAGAUCCCUCUGGUGCUUGGUGAAGCAAGAACAGGAGUCUACAUCCUUCAUACAACAAGUUCUCAAUCACACUUUUUCUUCAAGUCUCAAUUAGAUCCUAGUUCUAGUAUUUCCAACCCUGUUUCUAGCACAACUUCUGGACCUAUAAAAUCCCAUUCUAUUGUGGCAUUAUGGCAUAAUAGAUUGGGAUAUCUACCUUUUCAUGCAAUGAAAACAUUGAGUUUUAUUUCUUCUCUAGUCAAUGAAAAUUGUUAUUGUGGUUUA